CCCAUCAAAAUAAUAAUAACUCCCCACUAAAAUACUGAUAUGGAUAAAUUAUAGCAUGCCCUAAAAUCUUCUUCUUAGAAUACCAUCGUUCCUUUGGGCCACCAUUUUUCUUCCUUGCCCAUUAUUCUUCUUCCUUACCUUUAGUAGAAGGAUGUUCACUCAUUCAAGUCUCUUCGAAUCGCCUCAUUAGCUGGUAUAUGAAAAAUUUAAUG
Molecule: long non-coding RNA, 212 nt
Filed under: Elaeis guineensis (African oil palm)
Lineage: Eukaryota; Viridiplantae; Streptophyta; Magnoliopsida; Arecales; Arecaceae
Description: long non-coding RNA (EGUI_LNC017194)
Source: RNAcentral